UUUCCAUCCUGAUCAAUCUCAAACCCUUGAUUUCGAUUCCCUUAUGUCUCCCCAACCUCAAUCCCCCUCCGCCACCACCACACCGCCGCUGCCUCCGUCGCUUCUUCAACUCUCCUUCAACCAAGACCACGCCUGCUUCGCCGCCGCCACAGACAACGGCUUCCGCAUCUACAACUGCGACCCAUUCCGCGAACUCUUCCGCCGCGAAUUUGGCGGUGGAGGAAUCGCUCACGUUGAGAUGCUUUUCCGCUGCAAUAUCUUAGCACUUGUUGGUGGCGGCUCCCACCCUCAGUAUCCUCCUAACAAAGUCAUGAUCUGGGAUGAUCAUCAAGGUACUUGCAUCGGUGAACUCUCCUUCCGUGCCGCUGUUCGUGGUGUUCGAUUGCGUCGUGAUCGGAUAAUUGUGGUUGUGGAACAGAAGAUAUUUGUUUAUAAUUUCGCUGAUCUGAAGCUGUUGCAUCAGAUUGAAACUAUUGCUAACCCUAAGGGUUUAUGUUCAGUUUCACAUGUUUCUGAAUCUCUUGUUCUUGCUUGUCCUGGUUUGCAUAAGGGUCAGAUUCGUGUGGAGCAUUUUGCACUGAAAAAAACUAAGUUUAUUUCUGCUCAUGAUUCCAGAAUCGCUUCGUUUGCUCUCACGCUUGAUGGACAGUUAAUCGCCACUGCCAGUGUCAAGGGUACGCUCAUUCGGAUUUAUGAUACUGAUAGCGGCACCCUACUUCAGGAAGUAUGUGCUAAUUGCUCUUACUUACAUUUGUGUAGUUUUUUUCUUGAUAAUUAGUUAUGUUUCUUUUAUUGGAUUAGAUGUUAUUAAGGUUUAAUGUCUCUAUUUGUUGUUUUAUUUUUGUUCUAUGGUGUGGAGAUCUGAUUUUUGUGUGUGGGUAAUUGAGACAUUUUGGUUUUUCUGUGAAUUUCUUGGAUGUGGAUUUUAGGUUAGAAGGGGUGCAAAUGCAGCAGAGAUAUAUAGUUUGGCGUUUUCCUCCACAGCUCAGUGGUUAGCAGUUUCAAGUGACAAGGGCACUGUUCAUGUCUUUAGCCUUAAGGUUAAUUCAAGCGGUGUUCCUGAGAAUGAAACAUCACAAGGUUCAUCAUCUAGUUCAGAUGCUGCCAUUGUCCCUUCUAGCUCAUCUCGCUCCUUCAUUAAAUUUAAAGGUAAAAUAUUUUGUUGCUUUUUUAUUAACUUGAAGAGUAUUUCUUUCUAGGGUUUUGCAAUGGUUAAGGUAACCAAAAUUAGUAGCUUUAUAUUGGAAACAACAAUUUAUAAAAAUUUUACAAGUUGACUUGACUACUUUUUAUCAUUUUUCCAACACAAAAUUUCUAUUUUUGUUCCUUUAUCCAAUGCCACAAGGGCAAUGGUUAGCAUUUCCCUUCUUUCUAUUUGACAACCUAUUUAGUGGGAUAAGACUUGGUUGUUAUUGACUAUUUCUUUCUUUUUGUUAACCAAGAAUGAGUUUGAGAUGCCCAUGUUUUCCUUUUAUGAUUUUUUUUUCCCUUCUCAUUUGCAAAGAGAAAUAGUGUCAAUUCAAUUCUCUUUUUUCUUGUUGAUCGACUGUUACUAUGCGCCUUCAGGAGUGUUGCCCAAGUAUUUCAAUUCAGAGUGGUCAGUUGCUCGGUUUCACUUGCAUGAGGGUACUCAGUACACAGUUGCUUUUGGUGUACAAAAGAAUACAGUCAUAAUUCUUGGCAUGGAUGGAAGGUAUGAUACAAGGAAAUGACAAAAAAUAUAGCUUGUAUAUAAGUUUAGUCUUUUAGAUGAUAGCUAUUCUAUUAAUAUAAGACACUGUUAGUUCUAUUAAUAGUAAAAAAAUUGAUAAAUGUUAUUACUUUUAAGUAUUACUUAGUUGAGGAUUUAAAGAAUGACCAUGUGAACCAAUUUUUUGUUUGCUACUACUGUCAUACUUACUAUUUUGCUCUAAAUUGAAUAUGUAAUAUGGAAAAAGUUGCUCUAAAUUGAGCUUGUCUGAAAAGAGAGCGACUGAAUAAGGGUGCGGUCACCUUUAGUUUUUUUUUUUGAGUUAAGAUCAUAAUGUAUUUUAAUGUAAUACUGUCCCAAAUUUAUCUUCACGAUUCAAUUGAGAAGUUAGCUCUGAGAUUAUUCGACCACAAGAAUUGAAUGAAAUAGAAAGAAUACUUUAUUUAAGAAACACGAUAGAAUAAGAGAGAAUCUUUCCUCCAAGAGUUUCCCCUUCACAAUAGAGAAUACUCUAUUCACAAAGACGAUAUUCAAAGGUGCUCUCUACCCUUUGUGCUCUCUUAUUUUUACACAUACUUUCUAUGACAAUCUCAACUAACUAACUAACUUCUAUAACAAUUAUUAACUGCUUCAACAAUUCCAAUUUCCCUUUAUGCUAUAAUCCUUACAAAAGAAUUAGGUGUUCCACAUAUAAUUUUGUUCACGUGGGUUGGAUUAGUCUUGUGCCUCUUUAGAUAAAUCCUUUCCUAUUAAUCUAUGCAUUGGGUAUUAUUUUUUUUUGGGUAUCCCAAAUAAAGGUGAACGUUUAUGUUAUAUGAUCUUAAUGAUUUACAUUUGAUUAUUCUCUGCAGCUUCUAUAGAUGCCAAUUUGAUGCAGCGAAUGGAGGGGAAAUGACCCAGCUGGAACAUCACAACAUUUUAAUUCCAGAAACUGCUUUAUGAGAUGAAAUCCUGUAGCAUUUGACGCUUAUCUUUUAGUUAGGGUUAUUCUACAGGAAUAUUCACCGUGUAAUAAUAUCAGAAAUAGAUCGAGAGUGUAAUUAUUAAUAGAUGGGUGGUUGAAGUAACGCUGACACCGUUAUUGUUUACUCUGUGUCGACUAGUUGCUUCCAUUGUAAUUUUGUAAUUAUAUAAUUCACUAAAUUUUUAACUUAUAAAUAUUGAAAGCUGUUGCGAAGCAAGCAAACACUUUCCUAACAACUUAUCAAUUCCUUUCAAACCAAUAUAUAUAUUUUUACAUCAUAAUAAAAGCAUGGCGGAGUGUUUGUCAAAAUGAUUGACAACUGCCAUAGGAGAACAAAUUUGCAGGAAUAGGAAAGCCCUUAUAGAUACACCGAUUAUAUUUGUGGUGAGAUAUUGCCACUCAAAUAUGCCAAGAUAACCUUUUUAACGCCCCUGCAGAUUCAGUUCAGAUUCUAUUUGUUUGUCCCACAUUCAUUACAUUUGAUUAUUCUCUGCAGCUUCUAUAGAUGCCAAUUUGAUGCAGCGAAUGGAGGGGAAAUGACCCAGCUGGAACAUCACAACAUUUUAAUUCCAGAAACUGCUUUAUGAGAUGAAAUCCUGUAGCAUUUGACGCUUAUCUUUUAGUUAGGGUUAUUCUACAGGAAUAUUCACCGUGUAAUAAUAUCAGAAAUAGAUCGAGAGUGUAAUUAUUAAUAGAUGGGUGGUUGAAGUAACGCUGACACCGUUAUUGUUUACUCUGUGUCGACUAGUUGCUUCCAUUGUAAUUUUGUAAUUAUAUAAUUCACUAAAUUUUUAACUUAUAAAUAUUGAAAGCUGUUGCGAAGCAAGCAAACACUUUCCUAACAACUUAUCAAUUCCUUUCAAACCAAUAUAUAUAUUUUUACAUCAUAAUAAAAGCAUGGCAGAGUGUUUGUCAAAAUGAUUGACAACUGCCAUAGGAGAACAAAUUUGCAGGAAUAGGAAAGCCCUUAUAGAUACACCGAUUAUAUUUGUGGUGAGAUAUUGCCACUCAAAUAUGCCAAGAUAACCUUUUUAACGCCCCUGCAGAUUCAGUUCAGAUUCUAUUUGUUUGUCCCACAUUCAUGCCGUCGCUAUGGGGCUCUUAUACAGGCAUUAAACAUUCAUUUCCUCAGAAAUUUGCCUCGUUAUUUAUUAUGUAACUAAACUAGAAACUGGAUAAAAUAGGCACUGCCACUUUAUACACCUAUCUCAACGAUGCUAGCAAAUACAUAAGCAGACAAAUGCUGGUCAGGCUCUCAAACACCAACCAGUUUCAAGGUUGAUUCAGACAUGAACAUAAACAAUCUUAUUCUAUUUUGUUGUGAAGUCUUACAAAAUGUUGUUUAGUGAAAAACGAUUUGUUUAUUUUUUUUUUUCAUAUGACAAUUUAAAUCUUGGUUGUGUCUACUUAUCUUAAAGAUAGAGGGAGACGAAUCAAAUUUUAGCUACCAUAAGAUGCUGAUAAAAAAGAAACAACUCUAAAGCAUCACACCUUCAGUACGUUCAAAUUUCUCAUUUUGAUUCCAAAUUUCAUACUCACCUUUUCAGUACCUUCUAAGGAAUAAAUAACACCCACGCCUCUCUUCCACCAUGGGAAGCAUGACACAACACCUAAAGCACCGAAUAACUUCCAUUCUCCUCGGUUUCAUUUUCAAGGAUUUUAUUCGUCUUGUUCUUUCUCAUCGCUCAACAUCUAAAGCCAAGGACCAGGUAUCUUCCAUUCAUGUUGCUUUGAUUCAUUCUUGUUGCUUUGUUUCUUUUGACCCACAAAUCAAAACACACCUGAAAGUGCAAGUUGCCGGUUAAUGUGGAGGCUCUUCAAGUAAUGCAGUAUUUAUUAGGAUUUUCAUCUCAACUGUUAAAUUUUAUAUCAUGUACCAUGAGUUAGACAUCAUACUUUUGCCGGCAAUGGCGAGUUGAUUUAGUGAUGGUGUUUUUGUAAACUAAAUAACCUAAUACCAGCUCAUUGAUAUCAAUGACAAUAUUUUCAGGAUGCUCAACAUCUGUAGGAGCUUAACAGGAAUACUGACCCCAUAUGAGUUACUUUCUCAGUGAAUGAGCUAUCAUUUGUACCAUCCUUCAAUAAAUACAUAUUGUAGCAGAGCAGCUCCCUAUCAGAAGUAACUGCUAUGUUGGUGUUCUAUGUCAACUUACAAGCUACAUGAAAAUACUGGGAGAGUGAGCACUAUGCCAAGAGUUCACUGCCAUGCCUUUGAUGCUCAACCUCCACAGAACUACAUCCUAAGUCCUUAGUCAGUCCUCUUUCUUUCAUCAUUCCUCUUAUCCUCUCAACAUCGCUCCAUCUUCCGGCCUCUGCAUACAGAUUUGACAGUUGAACAUAAUAGGCAGUGUUAUAUGGCUCCAACUCAACCAAUUUUGUAGCCGCAAACUCACUGAAUUCCAAGUCAUCACGAGAUUUCGAACCAAGCAAUAAGGAUCCCCACAUAGCUGCCGUCGGCUCAAACGGCAUACAUUUGAUGAUGUCAAAAGCCUCUUGCAAUUGACCAGCACGUGCCAAGAGAUCAACCAUACAAGCAUAGUGUUUGACAUUAGGAAGAAAUCCAUACUUUCCAUCAACCAACAUACUAAAGAUAAAUCGACCCUUUUCCACCAAACCCGAAUGACUACACGCAGAAAGAACCGUGACCAAAGUCACUUCAUCCGCUCUAACUCCAUCCAACUCCAUCCUAUUAAACCACAAAAGAGCCUCCUCAACACUCUUAGCCAAAGCUAACCCUUUAAUAACAACAUUCAAAGUAAACACAUUCUUUUCCUUCAUAUCACAGAAAACCUUCAACCCCUCUUCCACUCUCCCACACUUGACAUACAUAUCAAUCAACGCCGUCCCCAAAAUCACAUCCAAUUCCCACCCAUUCCUCCUCACCAUAUCAUCUAUCCACACUCCCAUUUCAAUAGCACAAGAGCUAGCACAAGCAGACAAAGCAUUCACCAUCGUCACCCUAUUCGGCACCACACCCCCAUACUGCAUUUGUUCAAACACAAGCAAAGCAUCAUUAUACUUCCCACCGUUCCGAUAACCCAUUAUCAUUACAGUCCACGACACAACGUCUCUCUGAGGCAUUUCAUCAAACAGUUGGCGACAAAGUUCCAAACACCCAUAAGAGGCAUAUACAUCAAGAAGAGAGUUAUUAACAUAAAUAUCAUUAACAUAACCGAGUUUAAUAACAUGAGUGUAUACACAUUGUGAUUGAACAAAGUCGUGUGAGUCGGAAAGUGAUUUAAAAAGAAAAGGGAAUGUGAAGUUAUUGGGGAGAAUGGAGUUUUUGUGCAUGUGGGAGUAUAGAGAGAGAGGGGUGUUGGGGAUAUGAGAAUGAGAGAAGGCUCUGAUGAGAGAGUUGAAGAUGAAAACGUGUGGUUUUGGAAUGAGGUGAGUGAAGAGAGGUGAAACAUAGUUGAGAAGGUUAUGGGAUUGAGAUGCUGUGAUUAAGUGCUCUGCGAUUGUUGUGUGUGAUUGAAGGUUGUGAAUUAUGAUUUGUGCUUGAAUUUGUUUUACAUGAAUUUGUGUACGGCAGAAACUUUUCAGCAGUUUUACCACUCUUUCUGCCAAACAACUCAUGUUCCCAUUCAUCUGUUUAGAGAGUAAUGAAAUAAAGAAGAAAAAAUGCAUCAAUCACUAUUUUAUAGGGUGGCAUUUUGCAUGCAAUUGUGCACCAUGCACAAACUGCUUUUUUUUUUUUUUGACAGAUGGAGGUUUUGGUGGGGUGGGGUGACUUGCUAAAAAUAAACCAUUAAUAAAAGAAAACAUAUUAUAAUGAAAAAUAUUGGUUUUAUUGUUUUUGCUAGAUACACCCUCCAAAACUUAAACAUUGAGAGUAGUAAUUCACACAUUUGUAACACAUCAGUACAGCUAGUUUCCCACUAGUUCUUUUUCCCAUUUUCUUCUUGCAUCUUCAUCGCCCCCAUCAUGUUCUUCAGAAUUUCAGAAAUGGUUACUCACCAUCAACAUUCACAUUAACUUAAAAUUGAUAUUCAUCAACAAAGUUGUUCAAUAUCAUUUCAUUUUCUAUUGAAGUUUGGAAAUUGCAUCUUAGUUUGGUUUUUAGAUCUGGAUUUAUUAAAUCUGUUGGUUGAUUUCUGAAAUCUUUAAACUUAAAGGUAUGUAUAAGACUUUCUUUAUUUUAGUCCUUCUAUCAUUUUGUGUAUUGAUAAAAUGUGUUAGUUGAUAUCUAGCUUAGCUUCUAGCUUACUUACAACUGUUUUUGUAUUUGAUUUCGUUUUUGUUUGCUUCCUUUCAAUCUUUUUGAUAAAGCUAGUUUUUUAAGAUGUUUCAACUUCCAAUCAAACCACACUUUACUCCAAAAAAAGGUUUGAUUGUUAACAAACGACACCACUAAUUGUCGUCAAGAUUAAUGGGUUGCUUAGAAAGGAUCUUGAUAUAUGCAUCGGUCAGCGCAAGCUAUUGUGAUCCCCAAUCAACAAAUAUGCCGCAUUCUUCAUCGACUAACCAAGCUUACACCUCUAACCCUAACGACAACUCUCACCCUAAUGACAAGUUUAUUAGACCUACCGUACUUCAAAGAUUUCAAAACGACUCAUCAAACUCAUAACUCUUACCCUAACUGGAAGAAUCUUGAGGUCAAAGUACUUGGAUGAACGUUCAAUGAUUAAUCAAACUCUUUAACGAUUAAUCAAGCCUGUAACUCUAACCCUAACGACAAUAGUCUUCGACCUAAACUGCUCUAAUAGUUAGAUCAAGAGGUCACAACGACUAAUCAAACCCACAACUCUUACCCUAACAACAAGAAUCUUAUGCGGAAAGUACCGGAUAAAUGUUAACUGAUUAAUCAAGAUAUUCACUACGUGGUUUGUAUUUAAUUAAUUUUAUCUUUAUUAUUAAAACUAAUUUAUAAAUUCAAUAUACAUAACAAAUUACAACUAUUUUUUAAACACAUUGAAAUGAAAAUAACAUAAUAAUACAUUAAUUAAAUAAACUCAAGAAUAAAAAAUGCAAAAACAAAUUCUUAAAAAUACAAAAACUCAAACUGGCUAACAAAUAAAUGUUUUGCGUAUUUUAAUGUUCAUUUACCUUAACCCAUUCAACAAUUAUAUACACACUUCGGUCACCAAAACAAGUGAAACUAAAUUUUUUAAAUUUAUUCAAUAAAUUAUCUAUGUGGUCUUUAAUAUACAUCACACACACUAUUAUAAAUAGUGACUGAACAAUCUAUUUAUUAUCCAACUAUUACACCCAAUGUGUUCUUAUUCUUAAUUUUCGAAAUAAAAAAUAAAUUCCAAUUACAAACGUUUACAUUACUUCUACUAAAAUUUUCAUCAUUUUCGAAUUUCCCAUUUAAGUAAAAAAUAUCUAAUUGCAGAAAUUAUAUUUUCGUUUUCUGUGGGAUUACAACAAAGUUUAGUGAUAUUAAGUGACAUUAACCAAUUGUAAGUGGGAUUACAACAAUGUUUAGUUAUAAUAAUAGCAAUUUUGGUUUUUUCUAGUGAUAUUAAUAGCAACUUUCGUAUUGCGCUAAUACAAAGACAAAAAUUAUAUUCAGCCCAUAGUCACUUAGUUCUAAAACAAGGGCCCAAGUCCAAUACACAAGUGACAAAAAACAGCAAUUAAAUAUUAUCAUUUAUUCUAGGCUUAAUUGCACUUUUGGACCCCUAUCUUUCCAAAAGUUGUGGUUAUGGACCCCUAACUAAUUUAAAUACAAAACAGCCCCCUAUGUUUUGAUUCUUUGACAGUUUUGGACCCCCAAGGCAAAAAAUAAAUAAAAAAUUUGACACGUGACACCUCACUUAGGGUGCCACGUCAGCGUGACCGAGUCNNNNNNNNNNNNNNNNNNNNNNNNNNNNNNNNNNNNNNNNNNNNNNNNNNNNNNNNNNNNNNNNNNNNNNNNNNNNNNNNNNNNNNNNNNNNNNNNNNNNGAAUCAAAACAUAGGGGGUUAUUUUGUAUUUAAAUUAGUUAGGGGUCCAUAACCGCAACUUUAGAAAGAUAAGAGUCCAAAAGUACAAUUAAACCUUUAUUCUAAUGGUUGGACCGCGUGUAUUGUUCACGCAGCAGGUUGCCCAUGCCUUUCUCUCUCCAAAUCUUAACGGUCAGCAUUAAAAUAAUAAUAAAUAAGCGAUUCAGAUUUAAUUUAGGGUCAUUUUCACACAACUUUUGUAUGGUGUACAAAUUUUUUCCUUGUGCAUCGUAAACCUUACAUAAUUUUUUUUGUAAAAAAAGUGGGAAAAAGAAAAUGCGCAUCCAGGGAAUCGAACCCUGGUCAGCACCGUGGAAGGGUACUAUGAUACGUCUACACCAGAUGCACUUAAUAUUAAUAAUGAUGAAAUAUUUUAAUACUCUGUCAAUGAUUUCUCUGAUUAUUAUUACACGUUUUGCAGUGUCUAUAUUUUGAAAGUGUAGUGAUAUUUGAACAGCCAUUUUUUAUAAUCACUUUUUUUUUUUUUUUUUUUUAUGAUAACUGAACACGUUUUUUCACACAAAUACCAGACACCAAUGGCAAAACAGUAAAUGAUUAUAAACAAAGGGGGUAACUUGGUAUUUUCACUCCCCUUCUUCCCUUCAUCGUCUUCUUCUCUUCCCAGAUCUCUCUUUCACCAUUACCACCACCUUCACCAUCACAGCAUUCGUCUUCACCAUCACCACCACCAUCCUCACCACAACUCCAUCACGCCGUCCUUACCACCGUCGCCGUCAUCCAUCACCACAUUCGUCGUUUCAUCUCGUCUUCAAUAAUAGAUCUGACCUUCGAUCUCGUCUUCUCCAUCACGCCGUCGGCGACCUUCGCGUUACCAUCACGCCGUCGGUGACCUCUGUCGCUCUCUCUUGUGACCUCUGUCGCUCUCUCUCUCUCUCUCUCCUGUCUCACGACCAGUGUCUCUCACGGUGUGCAUUCGAACGUCGCCGGUGAGUGACUUGCUUAGAAACAGUGACAAAGAAUAGCAACUGUGUACAGGGAAGGAAAAGGGAAAAAAGGG
RNAcentral lists this long non-coding RNA (9599 nucleotides) under Medicago truncatula (barrel medic). Its description in RNAcentral is "long non-coding RNA (MTRU_LNC005661)". Lineage: Eukaryota; Viridiplantae; Streptophyta; Magnoliopsida; Fabales; Fabaceae. The record is from RNAcentral.